UGUGUAGGCCUCCGUGAAGCCUGAAUUCGAGUAGGCUGGCAAGCCCCAGGAAGAAGGCUGGCAGUCGGAGUGGCCACGACAGCUCUCUGCAGCAGACCCUCUUCCCAGGCCAGACAGCUCAGCCUUGGCCAGGUAGAAGAUGAAUUCCUUGAUGUGGUUACCCCCCCCCUUACAGGGAUUUGACAAGCUGAACCUAAGGACAGCCCACUACACACCCCUUGCGGCUGCAGUCACUUGAAAAGAGAGACUGCUGAGUAUGUGAGGCAAGUUCCUCGGCAGACUCAGAGUACAUCUUGCCCCUGCUGUGUUUUCCCUGCAACUUGGUCAUGGCAUUCAGUAACUGGAAUGAGUCCGGAGCGUCUGAAACCCACGAGCGUAAAUGGGGGGUGACGUUCCUCUCCCUACCUGCACGGUGGCAGGAUACGCAGAUUUGGAUGGUCCAGGAACCGCCUCUGGGAAAGGAACUAUUUUCUGGGAGUCUGGCUUCCUGAGGAAGAAGAAGAAGAAGAUGAUGAUGGGUCCCUCCUGGGUCUUGGACACCUUGGCCCUUGGAUGACCUGGACUGUUGGAGAGACUUAUCCUGCCAAUCUUGAAACCAGGUCUGCCAUGUGGGUGGUUCUGUUUAAAGCACACCUGAAGGCGGGGUGGAGGGGGCAUCCCCAUGAAGGUCAACUGGUACCAGGGGCUCCACCGCGGCUGGUCUCUUUGGCCCUGUCAUGUCUGGGUGUGACACACCCUCCAAAGAAGGGCUUCGAGGCCCCGCCCCCGUGCCAUCCGAUGUGCCCGCUCCGAUUUGGAACCUUUCUUGGCCUCUACAGCCAGAUGGAGGCAGCUGUGGAGGCCCCUUCGCGUUGCUCUCGCAGCAACUCCUCACUGCAUCGCAGCCUCUGUGGCCCCGAUCAAGCCCUCUGGAUGGGGCAGGUGGUUUCCUGGCCAGCCGGUGAGGCCGAUGAGAAGGCAGGAGCGAUGAUGCCGCCGGGAGAGGGACUCGGGCUUCCGUGGCGCUUCCCUGGUUCCCAGGCGGGUUGCAGUUAGGGAUAAAAGAAUUCUCUGAAAUAGUCUCCUCAAUGGUAGUCAAUGCAUUGGUGAAUAUUCUUUUCCAAGUUGGUGGUAGACUUGCAAAACCUGUCUUAAAGAUCAAAUGGAUAGGCUAAUGGCCCUUUCCCCCGGCUUCGGCUGAUACGCCAGCUGCGUCCGUUUCUUGAGAUGAAAGACCUCAGAACAGUUGUACAACUGCUGAUCAUCUCCGGACUAGAUUACUACAAUGCGGUCUAUGUGGGGCUGCCUGUGUACCUAGUCCAGAAACUGCAGUUGGUCCAGAAUGCGGCAGCCAGGUUGGUCUCUGGGACAUCUCGGAGAGACCAUAUUACUCCUUUUUUGAAAGAACUGCACUGGCUGCCGAUACGUUUCUGGGAAAAAUACAAGGUGUUGGUUAUUACCGUUAAAGCCAUAAACCCUGAGUAUUGAAGAGAACGUAUUAGUUCCUGGGUAUUGAAGAGAAUGUCUUCUUCACCAUGAGCCCCACAGCCUGUUAAGAUCAUCUGGAGAGGUUCGUCUGCGGCUGCCACCACCUUGUUUGGUGGCUACUCGGGAACGGGCCUUCUCGGUUGCUGCCCCUGGACUUUGGAAUGCACUCCUUGUUGAAAUAAGAGCCUCCCCAUCUCUGACACCUUUUCAAAAGGCACUGAAGACACAUUUAUUCACCCAGGCUUUUAAUUAGAUUGAUAGUUUUGAAAUUUUAAUACUGGGUUUCAAAUGUUUUAAAUCUUUUAAAUGAUUUUAAUUGAAAAUUGAUUUGAUGUUUUAAAUCAUUUUAAUUUUAAACCGCCCAGAGACACAAGUUUUAGGUGGUAUAGAAAUAUUUUAAGUCAAUAAAAGGAUGGAAGUAAAGUGAUGGGGAGGUAUAUGCAGGCACAGUGACUUAACGGUGUAGCCUUAAGUAGAGCUCAAGCUUCCAGAUUUCCCCUCUCCUCCCUCCCCUCCUCUCUCUUCCCUCAGGGAGCAGGAGAAAUUCU
Hemicordylus capensis (graceful crag lizard) is the source of this 2015-nucleotide long non-coding RNA. RefSeq lists it as uncharacterized. The transcript has 4 exons. The record is from RefSeq and is a predicted model, not a curated record. NCBI's taxonomy places the organism in Eukaryota, Metazoa, Chordata, Lepidosauria, Squamata, Cordylidae.